Molecule: long non-coding RNA, 1203 nt
Organism: Magallana angulata
Lineage: Eukaryota; Metazoa; Mollusca; Bivalvia; Ostreida; Ostreidae
Exons: 5
Source: RefSeq, a predicted model, not a curated record
CAGGAGGCCAUCCUGGCAAGCCAGUGACAAGAAGGGGGAUCCCUACCCUGCGAAGAGCAUGGAGGGUGGCAAGCUCCUAGCCCAAGUGGUCCAGCUCCACCCAGAGACGACCAGCUUCGCAGCAGGAGGAGAUGAUCGCCACUCUCUUCCUGCCCCUUUCCCAAUUGUGCCGAGAGGACGAACAAGUUGAGGGAUCAUGUGACGCUCUCCCACCUUCACCCUGUGUUUAGGAGGUCCAUGCCCUUGUGGGAUGAAGCCACGGCUAUGCGACUUAGAGUGUGCGUGUGGUUGGCUGACCAACUCCUUCGAAGUUGGGCCACGUUGACAGACCUGAUCCAGAGUGUUCCCACCUUCAGGUUUUCAGGGAACCUGGCGCAGAGUUUUUCAAUACACAUGCAUUUUGCCGGAAAAUGAAUCUGACUUCACACCACGAAAUUUUAACAGGAAAAAGACAAUUUGAUGAGCUUUCAUUCCAGAGGUCUCUCGUUGCUGAACGAAAAUUCGGGCUGGAACAUAAACAUUACCGCCUAUGGAAAAUGGAGCUCCAUGCUGGAAAGUGCACAAGGCCUCCAAAUCCAAAAUAUGACUAUGGAAGUUUUAUUGCCCAGACAUGUGAUUGUCUAGAACCAAUUGGAUGAUGCGUUAUAUAGAAUAUUCAUAUUGAGAGCUGCCAUGUCUUCUAAGAGAAACUCCAUUCUUUGAUGACUGAUGGAAAAGCCUCAUCACUUCCUUUGCUAAAGAACUUGUUAUCUUAAUCACUAGCCAUUAAUCAGUGACCACCGUUAUCAAAGCUCCCAGACACGCAUAAUGAUACAACUUCCUGGAUGGUGUUGAGUUUGUUUUUCAACCUGUGAAACCCAUUUGUUUUUAGGGGUGGGUAUGCUUAUAUUUAAUUUUCUCUCUUAGAAACCAAGCAAGUCAUUAUUUUCCUGGUCUCAAGUUAGUCUCAAAGCAUUUAACAGUAAAUUCUAUUUCAUUUAUAAUACUCUGAGAGUUUAGUUAAUGAACUAAGGCCACAUAAAGUUGAAAUAAUGGUUCUCGGGUAAAAUUUUCUAGAAAUGGAUGUGAGAGGGAAGCAUUUUUUCCCUUUUUAUUGUUGAUGAAAUAGAUGAGGGAGGCUUUUUUUUAUAAUCAUCGCCCAUCUUGGGUUCCAAAAGCGUAUGUUUUAUAAAACUGUUAAAAUACAGGUUUCGUUGAUGCCAC